UACGUAGGGGGCAAGCGUUGUCCGGAAUCAUUGGGCGUAAAGAGCGUGUAGGCGGCCCGGUAAGUCCGCUGUGAAAGUCGGGGGCUCAACCCUCGAAUGCCGGUGGAUACUGUCGGGCUAGAGUGCGGAAGAGGCGAGUGGAAUUCCUGGUGUAGCGGUGAAAUGCACAGAUAUCAGGAGGAACACCGGUGGCGAAGGCGGUGGUCUGGGCCGGCACUGACGCUGAGGAGCGAAAGCGUGGGGAGCAAACAGG
Molecule: ribosomal RNA, 253 nt
Filed under: uncultured bacterium
Lineage: Bacteria
Description: partial 16S ribosomal RNA
Rfam family: Bacterial small subunit ribosomal RNA
Source: RNAcentral